GUGUCAGCAGCCGCGGUAAUACAGAGGGUGCAAGCGUUAAUCGGAGUUACUGGGCGUAAAGGGCGCGUAGGUGGUUGAAUAAGUGAGAUGUGAAAGCCCUGGGCUUAACCUAGGAACUGCAUCUUAUACUGUUCAACUGGAGUACUGUAGAGGGUAGUGGAAUUUCCGGUGUAGCGGUGAAAUGCGUAGAGAUCGGAAGGAACACCAGUGGCGAAGGCGGCUACCUGGACAGAUACUGACACUGAGGCGCGAGAGCGUGGGGAGCAAACAGGAUUAGAUACCCUCGUAGUCC
Molecule: ribosomal RNA, 292 nt
Filed under: uncultured bacterium
Lineage: Bacteria
Description: partial 16S ribosomal RNA
Rfam family: Bacterial small subunit ribosomal RNA
Source: RNAcentral